RNAcentral lists this transfer RNA (72 nucleotides) under Ovis aries (sheep). It matches the Rfam family "tRNA". Rfam says of the family: Transfer RNA (tRNA) molecules are approximately 80 nucleotides in length. Their secondary structure includes four short double-helical elements and three loops (D, anti-codon, and T loops). Further hydrogen bonds mediate the characteristic L-shaped molecular structure. tRNAs have two regions of fundamental functional importance: the anti-codon, which is responsible for specific mRNA codon recognition, and the 3' end, to which the tRNAs corresponding amino acid is attached (by aminoacyl-tRNA synthetases). tRNAs cope with the degeneracy of the genetic code in two manners: having more than one tRNA (with a specific anti-codon) for a particular amino acid; and 'wobble' base-pairing, i.e. permitting non-standard base-pairing at the 3rd anti-codon position. Lineage: Eukaryota; Metazoa; Chordata; Mammalia; Artiodactyla; Bovidae. The record is from Rfam by way of RNAcentral.
UCCCUGGUGGCUCAGACGGUAAAGCAUCUGCCUAUAGUGCGGGAGACCCAGGUUCAAUCCCUGGGUCGGGAA